GUAGUGGCGAGCGAACGCGGAUGGGGGCUAAAACCGUAUGUGUGUGAUACCCGGCAGGGGGUUGCAUGUGCGGUGUUGUGGGCCCCUCCUUGUCAUGUCUGCCGGCAUGGCGCAGUGAGGUGCGGGCAUAUAGACGAACCAGUGUGGAUGCUGGACCGUAGAGGGUGAGAGUCCCGUAGUCGAAAUGUGUUCCGCCGCUGUUGGGGGGGGUUGCCCCGAGUAGCACGGGGGCCCGAGGAAUCCCCGUGUGAAUCUGCCAGGACCACCUGGUAAGCCUGAAUACUACCUGUUGACCGAUAGCGGAUCAGUACCGUGAGGGGAAUGGUGAAAAAGUACCCCCGGGAGGGGGAGUGAAAUAGUACCUGAAACCAUGUGCCUACAAACCGUUGGAGCCUUCUUGUGGGGGUGACAGCGUGCCUUUUUGAAGAAUGAGCCUGCGAGUUAGUGAUACGUGGCGAGGUUAACCCGUGUGGGGAAGCCGUAGCGAAAGCGAGUCUGAAUAGGGCGAUUGAGUCGCGUGUCCUAGACCCGAAGCGGAGUGAUCUACCCAUGGCCAGGUUGAAGCGCGUGUAAGAGCGCGUGGAGGACCGAACCCACUUCAGUUGAAAAUGGAGGGGGAUGAGCUGUGGGUAGGGGGUGAAAAGGCCAAUCAAACUCCGUGAUAGCUGGUUCUCCCCCGAAAUGCAUUUAGGUGCAGCGUCACGUGUUUUCUUCCCCGGAGGUAGAGCUACUGGAUGGACGAUGGGCCCUACAAGGUUACUGACUUCAGCCAAACUCCGAAUGCCGGGGAAGUGAGAGCGUGGCAGUGAGACUGUGGGGGGAUAAGCUUCAUAGUCGAGAGGGGAAACAGCCCCAGACCACCGGGUUAAGGCCCCCUAAGCGUGUGCUAAGUGGGAAAGGAUGUGGAGUUGCUGAGACAACCAGGAGGUUGGCUUAGAAGCAGCCACCCUUGAAAGAGUGCGUAAUAGCUCACUGGUCAAGUGAUUCCGCGCCGACAAU
RNAcentral lists this ribosomal RNA (999 nucleotides) under Micrococcus luteus. RNAcentral's name for it is "bacterial LSU rRNA". It matches the Rfam family "Bacterial large subunit ribosomal RNA", at positions 243 to 1171 of the family's 2925-position model. Lineage: Bacteria; Bacillati; Actinomycetota; Actinomycetes; Micrococcales; Micrococcaceae. The record is from RNAcentral.